CAGAGCUACACAGACCCGGUGGGGACAGGGAGCGAGGAAGAGGAGGCUGAGGAGAUGGUGGAGGAUGAGGCGGCGGAGUCACACACUGUCAAUGGACCAACAGCCUGAGAGCAUGGAGGAGGAAGCAACGUGACCUGUCCAAGUCAGGUUAAGUCACAGCAUGGCGGAGGAGAAAUGGGGAUGAGAUUUGUCCAGGAGGGUAGAGCGUAUGCCCGUCGAAGAGGGCGGCCGGCAAUCCGCCUACCUCCGAGAGUGUCAAAACUAAGUUUGGAACUUAAAGGUUAUUUAAAUGGUUUAUCAAAUAAAUGCUGUGGCCAACCCCAGUUGUCCAGCAAAA
Molecule: long non-coding RNA, 337 nt
Organism: Hyla sarda
Lineage: Eukaryota; Metazoa; Chordata; Amphibia; Anura; Hylidae
Exons: 3
Source: RefSeq, a predicted model, not a curated record